Molecule: long non-coding RNA, 536 nt
Organism: Pseudophryne corroboree (corroboree frog)
Lineage: Eukaryota; Metazoa; Chordata; Amphibia; Anura; Myobatrachidae
Exons: 3
Source: RefSeq, a predicted model, not a curated record
AACCCCAUAUUACAGUGAUAGACAAUUACAGUAUGGGUAAGAACACAGCCAGCAUCCAACCGGCCAACCAGUGCACUGUAUGAUCCUGCAGUGGCCCCCGGGCCCCCGAUAGGGGCAUGUAUCUGUCGAUGAAGAGAACCAUCUGGAGAGAAUUGUGUUCUGCAAUGUGGAGCCACCCGGUGGACAGACAUGAAAUUACACCGGUACUAGAAAAUCACAGAGCCGAAGAGAACUUUUGAAGGAGGUUCUGCAUUCCAUCCCCGCCAUGGUAUGCCCGGAAUGUUUCCCACAGAAACCGUACAGCUAUAGAGGACAUUCAGACGGCAGAACUUCCCUGAGAACAAAGUGUUAUUCUAUAGUGUGUUUAUAGUGUCUUACUGACAAUAAAGCAAUAAAAACAACCGCAAACUAAAUAUACUACAAUACCGUCUUGUGCUCUAAAUAAAACACAUUUCUGGUCUUGUUGUUCUCGGUGGAGCUUGUUACAAGCCAACAAAAUAACAAUAACAAAGGACUUAUUUUCUGAAUAGUAAUGU